Molecule: non-coding RNA, 1173 nt
Organism: Sebastes umbrosus (honeycomb rockfish)
Lineage: Eukaryota; Metazoa; Chordata; Actinopteri; Perciformes; Sebastidae
Source: the annotation of a RefSeq genome assembly
AACCAAAGCAGGUUUAUAGGCGAGUGACUUUAGCUUAUUACUCUUAAACACUGAAAAUGAAAGAAAGAAACAAAAUAAAAUAUGUUUCCUUUCUAAACUAUUCCACAAUAAACUCCUGUAACUGUUCUAAUCUUUAUUUUUAGUACGUUAGUAGUAACUUUGCUUUUCCUUCUAGGACGAGUCAACAUGUCUGCAGUUGUCAGACAGCAGCGUUAUCUGUCCACCGCAGGGGCUGAUGGGAGGUGUGAGGAGCCUUCAGGAACCACGUGGCCCUCGUCUGAUCUCACAGCUCGUCCUUGUUUGGCCUCAGCUGCAUCAGAGCGCCACUUCUCCCCAGGUUCACCAGAGGAAACACCACUGCACACAAUGCUUUUCCUCCCAGCUGCUGCUCUGUGCUGUCUGUGUUCAGCGCUGGUUGCCAUGGCAGCAGAGCUGAUUCAGGAGGAUUUAACAUUGACCAGGAGAGUUGGUGGAAAAGUUUCCUUCAGCUGUCGAGGAACUGACCAGUGUAGCUAUAAUUAUGUAUUCUGGUACCAGAAGACAGACACAGAAACAUUCAGAGUGAUUCUUUAUAUUGAUAAGAGAGAUGGUCAAAUAGAUUCAAGUUACAAUCAUCCUCAGAAAGAUGAUUUCUCAGCUGUGAAUAAACAGAACGGCUGUGAGUUGGAGAUCCAGAAGGUUAAACUCAAUCAUUCAGCCUCCUACUACUGCUCCUGUUUUGUUCUCCACAGUGAUAAAUGAUGCCUGCAGCCUGUACAAAAACCAUCAGAGGAACAGAUGUCAAACAGUGGUUGUGACAGGAAGAGAGCAGUAAACCACAGCCCAGGUUCACAUAUUCCACCUCCAUCUCAGCCACAGUCACACACACACUGAACUGAGGGAUUCAUUAGAUUUGAUAUUCAUUCAUAUUUCUAUCAGAUAUUGCAGCAGGUUUAUUGUUGUUCCACACAGUGAGGACAAACUAGUGGCACAGAGGCACAAGGAUGAAAUCAUUUAAAGACAUCAGACUAAUAAAUGGGAUCAGUCCUCACUUAUGUUGCUUAAUGAAAAUGAGAGACAAGAUCCUGACCGACAUAUAUCUAUUUUGAAGUUUUCAACCAGUCUUACUUAUUUGGGCAUCAAAAUAGUACCUCAAGAAAAUAUAGCCUUAAUAAAUGACGACCUUAUAAUGGA